RNAcentral lists this ribosomal RNA (1287 nucleotides) under Faecalibacterium prausnitzii. RNAcentral's name for it is "bacterial SSU rRNA". It matches the Rfam family "Bacterial small subunit ribosomal RNA", at positions 196 to 1520 of the family's 1533-position model. Lineage: Bacteria; Bacillati; Bacillota; Clostridia; Eubacteriales; Oscillospiraceae. The record is from RNAcentral.
AGAGGGAAAAGGAGCAAUCCGCUUUGAGAUGGCCUCGCGUCCGAUUAGCUAGUUGGUGAGGUAACGGCCCACCAAGGCGACGAUCGGUAGCCGGACUGAGAGGUUGAACGGCCACAUUGGGACUGAGACACGGCCCAGACUCCUACGGGAGGCAGCAGUGGGGAAUAUUGCACAAUGGGGGAAACCCUGAUGCAGCGACGCCGCGUGGAGGAAGAAGGUCUUCGGAUUGUAAACUCCUGUUGUUGAGGAAGAUAAUGACGGUACUCAACAAGGAAGUGACGGCUAACUACGUGCCAGCAGCCGCGGUAAAACGUAGGUCACAAGCGUUGUCCGGAAUUACUGGGUGUAAAGGGAGCGCAGGCGGGAAGACAAGUUGGAAGUGAAAUCCAUGGGCUCAACCCAUGAACUGCUUUCAAAACUGUUUUUCUUGAGUAGUGCAGAGGUAGGCGGAAUUCCCGGUGUAGCGGUGGAAUGCGUAGAUAUCGGGAGGAACACCAGUGGCGAAGGCGGCCUACUGGGCACCAACUGACGCUGAGGCUCGAAAGUGUGGGUAGCAAACAGGAUUAGAUACCCUGGUAGUCCACACUGUAAACGAUGAUUACUAGGUGUUGGAGGAUUGACCCCUUCAGUGCCGCAGUUAACACAAUAAGUAAUCCACCUGGGGAGUACGACCGCAAGGUUGAAACUCAAAGGAAUUGACGGGGGCCCGCACAAGCAGUGGAGUAUGUGGUUUAAUUCGACGCAACGCGAAGAACCUUACCAAGUCUUGACAUCCUGCGACGGUNACUUUCCUUCGGGACGCAGAGACAGGUGGUGCAUGGUUGUCGUCAGCUCGUGUCGUGAGAUGUUGGGUUAAGUCCCGCAACGAGCGCAACCCUUAUGGUCAGUUACUACGCAAGAGGACUCUGGCCAGACUGCCGUUGACAAAACGGAGGAAGGUGGGGAUGACGUCAAAUCAUCAUGCCCUUUAUGACUUGGGCUACACACGUACUACAAUGGCGUUAAACAAAGAGAAGCAAGACCGCGAGGUGGAGCAAAACUCAGAAACAACGUCCCAGUUCGGACUGCAGGCUGCAACUCGCCUGCACGAAGUCGGAAUUGCUAGUAAUCGCAGAUCAGCAUGCUGCGGUGAAUACGUUCCCGGGCCUUGUACACACCGCCCGUCACACCAUGAGAGCCGGGGGGACCCGAAGUCGGUAGUCUAACCGCAAGGAGGACGCCGCCGAAGGUAAAACUGGUGAUUGGGGUGAAGUCGUAACAAGGUAGCCGUAGGAGAACCUGCGGCUG